UGGGGAAUAUUGCACAAUGGGCGCAAGCCUGAUGCAGCCAUGCCGCGUGUAUGAAGAAGGCCUUCGGGUUGUAAAGUACUUUCAGCGGGGAGGAAGGGAGUAAAGUUAAUACCUUUGCUCAUUGACGUUACCCGCAGAAGAAGCACCGGCUAACUCCGUGCCAGCAGCCGCGGUAAUACGGAGGGUGCAAGCGUUAAUCGGAAUUACUGGGCGUAAAGCGCACGCAGGCGGUUUGUUAAGUCAGAUGUGAAAUCCCCGGGCUCAACCUGGGAACUGCAUCUGAUACUGGCAAGCUUGAGUCUCGUAGAGGGGGGGAGAAUUCCAGGUGUAGCGGUGAAAUGCGUAGAGAUCUGGGGGAAUACCGGUGGCGAAGGCGGCCCCCUGGACGAAGACUGACGCUCAGGUGCGAAAGCGUGGGGAGCAAACAGG
Molecule: ribosomal RNA, 429 nt
Filed under: Chloroflexota bacterium
Lineage: Bacteria; Bacillati; Chloroflexota
Description: Chloroflexi bacterium partial 16S ribosomal RNA
Rfam family: Bacterial small subunit ribosomal RNA
Source: RNAcentral